AUGGCCAUCCCAAAAGCUUUGAUCCUUGGCAUCCUCGGAUGUGUCUGCUUCUGCAGUUCGGUCCUAGAAGCUCGUGAGCUCAGCGAUGACUUGUCGAUGGUGGCAAGGCACGAGAGCUGGAUGGUGGAGUACGGCCGUGUGUACAAGGACGAUGCUGAGAAGGCGCAACGAUUCGGGGUGUUCAAGGCCAAUGUCGGGUUCAUCGAGUCGUUUAAUGCCAAGAACCUCAAGUUCUAUUUGGGCGUCAAUCAGUUCGCCGACCUAACGAACGAGGAGUUCAAGGCGACGAAGGCUAACAAGGGGUACAAACCGAGCAUGGAGAGGAUGCCUACCGGAUUCAGGUAUGAGAAUGUAAGUUUCGAUGCACUUCCGGCAACCGUAGACUGGAGAACGAAAGGAGCAGUCACCCCCAUCAAGGAUCAGGGCCAAUGUGAGGGCGUCGUUAAGCUCAAAACCGGCAAGCUUAUCUCCUUGUCUGAGCAAGAACUAGUGGAUUGUGAUGUCCAUGGUGAAGACCAAGGUUGCGAAGGUGGGCUUAUGGAUGAUGCCUUCAAGUUCAUAAUCAAGAAUGGCGGUCUCACAACCGAGUCAAACUACCCAUAUACCGCGGCAGAUGACAAGUGCAAGAGUGGAACCAACGGUGCCGCAACCAUCAAAAUCUAUGAGGAUGUUCCAGCCAACAACGAGGGAGCUCUCAUGCAAGCCGUCGCAAGCCAACCCGUCUCGGUGGCUGUAGAUGGAGGAGAUAUGACCUUCCAAUUUUACAAAGGUGGAGUGAUGACAGGCUCAUGUGGCACAGACCUGGACCAUGGUAUUGCGGCUAUUGGUUAUGGCAAGACCAGCGAUGGCACAAAAUAUUGGUUGCUGAAGAAUUCAUGGGGAACAACAUGGGGCGAGAACGGAUAUUUAAGAAUGGAGAAGGACAUUCCCGACAAGAAAGGCAUGUGUGGCCUUGCGAUGGAGCCUUCUUACCCCACUGCAUAG
RNAcentral lists this ribosomal RNA (984 nucleotides) under Triticum aestivum (bread wheat). Its description in RNAcentral is "partial small subunit ribosomal RNA". Lineage: Eukaryota; Viridiplantae; Streptophyta; Magnoliopsida; Poales; Poaceae. The record is from RNAcentral.